This 798-nucleotide ribosomal RNA is filed under the name Escherichia coli. RNAcentral describes it as "partial 23S ribosomal RNA". It matches the Rfam family "Bacterial large subunit ribosomal RNA", at positions 1917 to 2714 of the family's 2925-position model. Lineage: Bacteria; Pseudomonadati; Pseudomonadota; Gammaproteobacteria; Enterobacterales; Enterobacteriaceae. The record is from RNAcentral.
GCCCCGGUAAACGGCGGCCGUAACUAUAACGGUCCUAAGGUAGCGAAAUUCCUUGUCGGGUAAGUUCCGACCUGCACGAAUGGCGUAAUGAUGGCCAGGCUGUCUCCACCCGAGACUCAGUGAAAUUGAACUCGCUGUGAAGAUGCAGUGUACCCGCGGCAAGACGGAAAGACCCCGUGAACCUUUACUAUAGCUUGACACUGAACAUUGAGCCUUGAUGUGUAGGAUAGGUGGGAGGCUUUGAAGUGUGGACGCCAGUCUGCAUGGAGCCGACCUUGAAAUACCACCCUUUAAUGUUUGAUGUUCUAACGUUGGCCCGUAAUCCGGGUUGCGGACAGUGUCUGGUGGGUAGUUUGACUGGGGCGGUCUCCUCCUAAAGAGUAACGGAGGAGCACGAAGGUUGGCUAAUCCUGGUCGGACAUCAGGAGGUUAGUGCAAUGGCAUAAGCCAGCUUGACUGCGAGCGUGACGGCGCGAGCAGGUGCGAAAGCAGGUCAUAGUGAUCCGGUGGUUCUGAAUGGAAGGGCCAUCGCUCAACGGAUAAAAGGUACUCCGGGGAUAACAGGCUGAUACCGCCCAAGAGUUCAUAUCGACGGCGGUGUUUGGCACCUCGAUGUCGGCUCAUCACAUCCUGGGGCUGAAGUAGGUCCCAAGGGUAUGGCUGUUCGCCAUUUAAAGUGGUACGCGAGCUGGGUUUAGAACGUCGUGAGACAGUUCGGUCCCUAUCUGCCGUGGGCGCUGGAGAACUGAGGGGGGCUGCUCCUAGUACGAGAGGACCGGAGUGGACGCAUCACUGGUG